This 467-nucleotide ribosomal RNA is filed under the name uncultured bacterium. RNAcentral's name for it is "bacterial SSU rRNA". It matches the Rfam family "Bacterial small subunit ribosomal RNA", at positions 337 to 796 of the family's 1533-position model. The record is from RNAcentral.
UCCUACGGGAGGCAGCAGUGGGGAAUUUUGGACAAUGGGCGAAAGCCUGAUCCAGCAAUGCCGCGUGCAGGAUGAAGGCCCUCGGGUUGUAAACUGCUUUUGUACGGAACGAAAAGCCUGGGGCUAAUAUCCCCGGGUCAUGACGGUACCGUAAGAAUAAGCACCGGCUAACUACGUGCCAGCAGCCGCGGUAAUACGUAGGGUGCAAGCGUUAAUCGGAAUUACUGGGCGUAAAGCGUGCGCAGGCGGUUUUGUAAGACAGUGGUGAAAUCCCCGGGCUCAACCUGGGAACUGCCAUUGUGACUGCAAGGCUAGAGUGCGGCAGAGGGGGAUGGAAUUCCGCGUGUAGCAGUGAAAUGCGUAGAUAUGCGGAGGAACACCGAUGGCGAAGGCAAUCCCCUGGGCCUGCACUGACGCUCAUGCACGAAAGCGUGGGGAGCAAACAGGAUUAGAUACCCUGGUAGUCC